Molecule: ribosomal RNA, 804 nt
Filed under: Psychrobacter sp. P3-15(2011)
Lineage: Bacteria; Pseudomonadati; Pseudomonadota; Gammaproteobacteria; Moraxellales; Moraxellaceae
Description: bacterial SSU rRNA
Rfam family: Bacterial small subunit ribosomal RNA
Source: RNAcentral
UACUGGGCGUAAAGCGAGCGUAGGUGGCUUGAUAAGUCAGAUGUGAAAUCCCCGGGCUUAACCUGGGAACUGCAUCUGAAACUGUUAGGCUAGAGUAGGUGAGAGGGAAGUAGAAUUUCAGGUGUAGCGGUGAAAUGCGUAGAGAUCUGAAGGAAUACCGAUGGCGAAGGCAGCUUCCUGGCAUCAUACUGACACUGAGGCUCGAAAGCGUGGGUAGCAAACAGGAUUAGAUACCCUGGUAGUCCACGCCGUAAACGAUGUCUACUAGUCGUUGGGUCCCUUGAGGACUUAGUGACGCAGCUAACGCAAUAAGUAGACCGCCUGGGGAGUACGGCCGCAAGGUUAAAACUCAAAUGAAUUGACGGGGGCCCGCACAAGCGGUGGAGCAUGUGGUUUAAUUCGAUGCAACGCGAAGAACCUUACCUGGUCUUGACAUAUCUAGAAUCCUGCAGAGAUGCGGGAGUGCCUUCGGGAAUUAGAAUACAGGUGCUGCAUGGCUGUCGUCAGCUCGUGUCGUGAGAUGUUGGGUUAAGUCCCGCAACGAGCGCAACCCUUGUCCUUAGUUACCAGCGGGUCAAGCCGGGAACUCUAAGGAUACUGCCAGUGACAAACUGGAGGAAGGCGGGGACGACGUCAAGUCAUCAUGGCCCUUACGACCAGGGCUACACACGUGCUACAAUGGUAGGUACAGAGGGCAGCUACACAGCGAUGUGAUGCGAAUCUCAAAAAGCCUAUCGUAGUCCAGAUUGGAGUCUGCAACUCGACUCCAUGAAGUAGGAAUCGCUAGUAAUCGCGGAUCAGAAU